CCUACGGGAGGCUGCAGUGGGGAAUAUUGCGCAAUGGGCGAAAGCCUGACGCAGCGACGCCGCGUGAGGGAUGAAGGUCUUCGGAUCGUAAACCUCUGUCAGCAGGGAAGAACGGUCACUGUGCUAAUCAGCAGUGAAUUGACGGUACCUGCAAAGGAAGCACCGGCUAACUCCGUGCCAGCAGCCGCGGUAAUACGGAGGGUGCGAGCGUUAGUCGGAAGUACUGGGCGUAAAGCGCUCGUAGGCGGUAUUGCAAGUCAAGGGUGAAAUCCCCGCGCUCAACGUGGGAACUGCCUUGGAAACUGGCAAACUGGAGUGUGUGAGAGGAUAGUGGAAUUCCAGGUGUAGGAGUGAAAUCCGUAGAUAUCUGGAGGAACAUCAGUGGCGAAGGCGACUAUCUGGCACAUAACUGACGCUGAGGAGCGAAAGCGUGGGUAGCAAACAGGAUUAGAUACCCUAGUAGUC
This 465-nucleotide ribosomal RNA is filed under the name uncultured bacterium. Its description in RNAcentral is "partial 16S ribosomal RNA". It matches the Rfam family "Bacterial small subunit ribosomal RNA", at positions 338 to 795 of the family's 1533-position model. The record is from RNAcentral.